RNAcentral lists this ribosomal RNA (274 nucleotides) under uncultured bacterium. Its description in RNAcentral is "partial 16S ribosomal RNA". It matches the Rfam family "Bacterial small subunit ribosomal RNA", at positions 523 to 796 of the family's 1533-position model. The record is from RNAcentral.
AUACGAAGGUGGCAAGCGUUAUUCGGAAUCACUGGGCAUAAAGGGCCUGCAGGCGGUUUGUUAAGUUAAUUGUGAAAUCCCUCGGCUUAACCGAGGAAUUGCUGUUAAAACUGGCAAGCUAGAGUGUUGGAGGGGUAAGUGGAAUUCUUGGUGGAGCGGUGGAAUGCGUAGAUAUCAAGAGGAACGCCGGAGGCGAAAGCGACUUACUAGACAACUACUGACGCUGAGGGGCGAAAGCUAGGGUAGCGAACGGGAUUAGAAACCCCAGUAGUCC